GCCCCCGUAGCUAAGUGGAAAAGCGUCGGAUUACGAAUCCGUCAAAUCGGGAGUUCGACUCUCCCCGGGGGCUCCA
The sequence is a transfer RNA, 76 nucleotides long. It matches the Rfam family "tRNA". From Rfam's summary of the family: Transfer RNA (tRNA) molecules are approximately 80 nucleotides in length.